ACUCACUCCAUCCUGCCACCAUGUGAAGAAGGUACUUGCUUCUCCUUUGCCUUCUGCCAUGUUUGUAAGUUUCCUGAGGCCUCCCCAGCCGUGUGAACUGUGAGUCAAUUAAACUUCUUUAUAAAUUACCCAGUCUCAGGUAUUUCUUCAUAGCAGUGUGAGAAUGGACUAUUACAGUAAAUUGGUACUGGCUAGUGGGGUGCUGCUGUAAAGAUACCCUAAAACGUGGAAGUGACUUUGGAAGUGGGUAACAGGCAGAGAUUGGAACAGUUUGGAGGGCUCAGAAGAAGACAGGAAGAUGUGGGAAAGUUUGAGACUUCCUAGAGACUUGGAGAUCUCAGAAGACAGGGAGAUAUGGGAAAGUUUGGAACUUCCUAGAGACUUGUUGAAUGGCUUUGACCAACAUGCUGAUAAUGAUGUGGACAAUGAAGUCUAGGCUGAGGUGGCCUCAGAUGGAGAUGAGCAACUUGUUGGGAACUGGAUUACAGGUCACUCUUGCUAUGGAAAGAGACUGGCCGCAUUCUACCCCUGCCCUAGAGAUUUGUGGAACUUGGAAUUUGAGAGAGAUGAUUUAGGGAAUCUUGCAGAAGAAAUUUCUAAGUGCCAGAGCAUUCAAGAGGAAGCAGAGCAUAAAAGUUUGGAAAAUUUGCAGCCUAACAAUGUGAUAGAAAAGAAAACCCCAUGUUCUGGGGAGAAUUGCAAGCCACCUGCAGAAAGUUGUAUAAGUAUCAAGGAGUCAAAUAUUGAUCACCAAGACAAUGGGGGAAAAUGUCUCCAGGGCUUGUCAGAGACCUUCACAGCAGCCCCACCCAUCACAGGCCUGGAGGCCUAAGAAGGAAAAAUGGUUGUGUAGCCUGGGCCCAGGGACCCCUGCAGCCUUGAAACAUGGUGCUCUGCAUCCCAGCUGCUUCAGCUCCAGCUGUGGCUAAAAGAGGCCAACAUACAGCUCAGGACAUUGCUUCAGCGAGUGCAAGCCCCAAGCCCCAAGCCUUGGCAGCUUCCAUGUGGUGUUGGUCCUGUGGGUACACAGAAGUCAAGAACUGAGGUUUGGAAACCUCUGUCUAGACUUCAGAGGAUGUAUGGAAAUGCCUGGAUGUCUAGGCAGAAGUCUGCGCAGAGGCAGAGUCCUCAUGGAGAACCUCUGCUACAGCAGUGUGGAAGGAAAAUGUGGGGUCAGAGCCCUAACACAGAGUCCUCACUGGGGCACUGCCUCGUGGGGCUGUGAGAAGAAGGCCACCAUCCUGCAGACCCCAGAAUGGGAGGUCUACAUACAGCUUGCACUGUGUGCCUGGAAAAGCCACAGGCACUCAAUGGCAGCCCAUGAAAGCAGCUGUUAGGGAGGUUGUGCUUUGCAAAGCCACAGGGCAGAGCUGCCCAAGGCCACGUUGUGGGAGACCACCUUUUGUAUCAGUGUGACCUGGAUGUGAGUCAUGGAGUCAAAAGAGAUAAUUCUGGAACUUUAAAGUUUAAUGACUGCCCUGUGGAGUUUCAGACUUGCAUGGGGCCUCUAACCCCCUUGUUUUGGCCAAUUUCUCCCAUGUAGAAUGGAUGUAUUUACCGAAUGCCUAUGCCCCUAUUGUAUAUAGGAAGUCACUAACCUACUUUUGAUUUUACAGGCUCACAGGUGGAAGGGACUUACCUUGUCUCAGAAGAGACUUUGGACUUGGACUUUUGGGUUAAUGCUGAAUGACCUAAGACUUUGGGGGGCUGUUGGAGGGGCACGAUUGUGUUUUGAAAUGUGAGGACAUGAGAUUUGGCAGGGGCCAAGGGCAAAUUGAUAUGAUUUGGCUCUGUUUCCCCACCCAAAUCUCACCUGGAAUUGUAAUAAUCUCCACAUGUCAUGGGAGGUACUCAGUGGGAGGUAAUGAAAUCACAGAGGCAGUUACCCCUAUGCUGUGCCUGAGAUAGUGAAUGAGUUCUCAUGAGAUCUGAUGGUUUGUAAGGAACUUUUCCCUGUUUGCUCAGCACUUCUCUCUCCUGCCGCCAUGUGAAGAAGGACAUGUUUGCUUCCCCUUCUGCCAUGGUUGUAAGUUUCCUGAGGCCUCCCCAGCCAUGCUGAACUGAGUCAAUUAAACCUCUUUCCUUUAUAAAUUACCCAGUCUCAGGUAUGUCUUUAAUAGCAGUGUGAGAACAGACUAAUACACGCAGGUUCCAGUAAUGGGGUCUGUCCACUGGAGCGCCUCUGGCUCAGCCGUGGCAGACACAGUGGAGGCUAUGCUAGCAGAUAAGGAGGUUUCGGGGAUGGCAGUGGCAUCUAGAGCACUCCAUGAGCAAGUUGUCAAGUGUCUUGGAGACAAGUGGUAACCUAUUAGACCUGAGAGGGCAUUAUUAACUGUGCCCCAAAUGAAAACAUACUAAACGGACAAACCCCAAACAAAUAUCAGUAUCUGUCAGAGGCAGUGGCAAUGACCACUAUGCUAGGAAUGCAUUUUAAAAUUAGGGUGGGGAGGCUGUGUUGUUUGCAAUCCAGUGCUUAACUGGCUCAAAAUAGAGUUGGGAAUUUUUAGAGCUUUAAUAUGCUGGAUGAAAGAAAACAAGUGACAUGAUGACUGGAACCGCCACCACUGAAUUUUCUAAACUUUAAGAAAAGGCAAGAAAAUUGCUUUUAGAAGAAGAGACGUUGAGAAUAUGCCCCAGUGAAUCCUCCCCACCUGCAAUUAUGAGGUUUCCCCAUGCCCUCUUUUGGACUUGAUGGGGGUCAUUUGGGACAAUAAGGCCUGAUAACUCCUUGGACUUAGGAAGCGAGAGAGCAGGAAUCAAGAAAAGCUUUUGUGGUUUUUGGUUUGUGUAGAAAAUAUGAUGGAUUGAGGUAAAAUUUUUCAAAAUAGGCCCAAUGAAGAAGAGCAGAUUCAAGGAGUAAAGCUUUGGUAGGCAGCCUGAAAUUGCUCAUCAAGGAAAAAGACCAGACUCGGAUUUUAAAUGGCUUCUUCUGAAUGAAGCAAUUAAUGCUAAAAGGAACAUGUUGUCUUCUCAGCAUUUAUAAGGAUUAUUUAUGAGGAUGGCCUGUGCAAAAAGACACCCAGAGAUUUCAUGCUGUUGAUUCACAGAAAGCCUGUUACUGUUCACUCCGUAGAGUCCUCAGAGUCUGGAUCAUCCCUUACAGAAGAUCCUUGAUAAUAUUUCUGAUACACCUCCAAGCUCUCCUGGAGCAUGGGCCGCCAUGGCCCUUGCAUGGAAUCAUUGUACCAGAGCUGUCAGUAUUGUGCAAAGACGGCCUGGAGCGGGGAAGAAGACAUCUUCAAGAAAGGGACAGAGUAUUGGAAGUCAGGUCAAGGUAUUGCAAAAGAUACCACAGCAGGGAUGCGUCCUUCUCAGGCUGUGAUACCAGGGCCUUGUGUUAGGCAUUGUGAAGGAAAGAGAAAUGCACAAAAAAUCUCAUGGAGGCUGAUAAAUCAAAGAUAAUACUUAAGGUUCCAUUUGUCAAAUGUGUGUGACCCUUCCGAUAAGUCACCAAAGGUGAUGAGGGAGAGAGAGAAAGAAAGCAAAUUACAACUGUAAAGAGUCUCUGAACAGUGAAAGAUCAAAACAGACAGUCUCUGGCUUUACUGGAUGAGUCACCAUUGCAGCCCGACCGCAAAAACAAGCGUGGCUUCUGUACUUAGCAGCAGUCUUCCUGUCUGGAAAGGAAACAUUGCUCAGAUUGGAGAUACUGGCCAUUUUAUAGACUUCAAAGCAACUUAGGCAACUGAACUGUCAGGCGGGAAAACAGGAUGUCUUCCAUUUGGAAGCCCCUUUGCUUCUAAGAAGUUCCAGAGACCAGCCCAGGCCUACAGAGUUGUAAGGAUUCAUCUGGGUACUGAAGACAUUUGGGACCUCAGUGAAGUUUCUCCGAGGCCAGAUGGUCACAUUGAUUUUCUGGAAUCAUUUUGAAUAAAAAUGAGCGAGGUGGUGAACACAAUGCAAGGCUCUCCAC
Molecule: long non-coding RNA, 3913 nt
Organism: Gorilla gorilla gorilla (western lowland gorilla)
Lineage: Eukaryota; Metazoa; Chordata; Mammalia; Primates; Hominidae
Exons: 10
Source: RefSeq, a predicted model, not a curated record